GAUGAACGCUAGCUACAGGCUUAACACAUGCAAGUCGAGGGGUAACGAGAGGAAAGCUUGCUUUCCUUGUCGACGACCGGCGCACGGGUGAGUAACGCGUAUCCAACCUGCCCCCAACUAGGGAAUAACCUUGCGAAAGUAAGACUGAUACCCUAUAAUUUCCUCAGAUGUCAUCUGACGAGGAAUAAAGAUUUAUCGGUUGUGGAUGGGGAUGAGUCUGAUUAGCUUGUUGGCGGGGUAACGGCCCACCAAGGCAACGAUCAGUAGGGGUUCUGCGAGGAAGGUCCCCCACAUUGGAACUGAGACACGGUCCAAACGCCUACGGGAUGCAGCAGUGAGGAAUAUUGGUCAAUGGGCGGAAGCCUGAACCAGCCAAGUAGCGUGCAGGAUGACGGCCCUAUGGGUUGUAAACUGCUUUUAUACAGGAAUAAAGUUAGCCACGUGUGGUUAUUUGUUGGUACUGUAUGAAUAAGGACCGGCUAAUUCCGUGCCAGCAGCCGCCGUAA
RNAcentral lists this ribosomal RNA (506 nucleotides) under uncultured bacterium. RNAcentral describes it as "partial 16S ribosomal RNA". It matches the Rfam family "Bacterial small subunit ribosomal RNA", at positions 28 to 523 of the family's 1533-position model. The record is from RNAcentral.